Molecule: ribosomal RNA, 204 nt
Filed under: uncultured bacterium
Lineage: Bacteria
Description: partial 16S ribosomal RNA
Rfam family: Bacterial small subunit ribosomal RNA
Source: RNAcentral
AGGCGGUUUGUCGCGUCUGGAGUGAAAGCCUUCAGCUUAACUGUAGGCUUGCAUUCGAUACUGGCAGACUAGAGGUAUGCAGGGGAGAAUGGAAUUCCUGGUGUAGCGGUGAAAUGCGCAGAUAUCAGGAGGAACACCGGUGGCGAAGGCGGUUCUCUGGGCAUUACCUGACGCUGAGGAGCGAAAGUGUGGGGAGCGAACAGG